GGGGAUGAAAUGGAUUCGACGGGAACGAAAGAGGUUUUGAAUUGCACGUCGGGUUUUCUAACACACCGUAAAAAUGUUAGAAAAACAAUUAAAUGCAGAUGAUAAUUAUUCAUACGCAAUGGCUGCUUAGUAUAACUAAAUAGUCGCAUGGCAGUUCGCCUGUAAAGGCUUGAGCGCCACGAUUUUAGAAAAUUUUGUCCUUUAGACUUUCUAAAAUUGUCAUAAAUUUAAAGGACUGGUUUCGACUUUGCUUCGGAGUUGGAAUGAGAUUUUUGAAGCUCGUUUUGUGAAUGGUGUUGGCACUUUGGACUUCACAAAAUUAAACUUUUCAAAUUGCCUAAGCGUGUAGAAGUUCAAAUGGUCUUGUUCUUGGACCAGGGUUCGAUUCCCUGCAUCUCCAUAA
Molecule: transfer-messenger RNA, 403 nt
Filed under: bacterium
Lineage: Bacteria
Also listed under: 1 other name
Description: CLD3 sp008501735 Standard tmRNA
Rfam family: transfer-messenger RNA
About the family: Bacterial tmRNA, also known as 10Sa RNA or SsrA, is named for its dual tRNA and mRNA-like properties. Its role is to liberate the mRNA from a stalled ribosome.
Source: RNAcentral